GCCUUCUGGGUCCGAGGCUCCCACCUGCUCUAAGCGCUUGGUACCAGGGAGGGAAUGGGAGGACGCUUGCGGGAUAGGGAGGCGGGGGCUGGAAAUUGGCAGGGUGAGAGCUGGGGAAACUAGUCUGGGACGCAGCCCUCCUUGUCCCCCUUCUUCAUUCACCCCCUUGUUGAGGCCCUUGGCUUUUGCAUAAUGCACCCUUUAAAAAAAUGUAUUUAAAGAGGCUGGUUCCUAUCCAUCCGACUGGAGGCAUCUCAGUGCAAGAGCAAAGCUAAGUCCUGCACACGCUCCUCCCCUCCUCCUCCUCCUUCUCCCCCCAGGUUUUCCCGAAUGUAUCUACUCCGGUUACAACUAGACGCGGCCCCUCCCCCACCUGCCUCCCCCCUUCCUUCCCUCGAUCGUGGAGGGAGCGUUCUCUGUGCCUUCCCAAGUCCCCGUGGGGGACCUUCUAUGUUGGAGUGGGGGGAGGGGGGGAGGGUCAUAUAACGAAGGCCAGAAAGAACAAAUUAGAUAAUCAAAAGAAUUAUAGUAAUUGCUUUCACUUUCCCCCGCCCGCUCAGCGGAUUCCCUCCCCCGCCCCUCCCCUGGUUUUUCUGUCUGUCGGGAAUACUCGGUCUUUCCGACCCCCUCCCCUCCCCCAGGUUCCUCCUCUCCUCUCCCCUUGCUCGCGCGUUCCCUCUCUUCCUCCGUUUUCUGGUGUGCUGGAACGUUCAGCGGAAUAUGAUGAAUGAUCACCUGUCACAGCUUGUUUAUUAUAAUGCAGGCAAUCAAUUACACAUCCCCAAUGCUGGCCGGCCCGCAGGAAAUUUAUAUGCUCAGCACAAACCAAUGUGAAAAUGGAAUCUCAUUUGCCAAAUGUCUUUCUCCCCGUACAGCACGAUGAUUACAGUCUGUGUUUGUUUCAACAGUCGUGUACAACUGACAGUGCCAUCAUUUACUGCCUGGCUCAGGUCACGUUACUCUAAGGCUUUAUUUAUGGUGUUACGAAGGGCAGCACAGGAAAAGGACAAGGGUGUCUGUCAGGGAUGGCACUGUGUUAAAAAGUGGGCGUGCAAGGGCCGCAUUCCCGGGCAGCCGCUGCAACCUCAGCCCCUGGGCCCUUACCUCCGCAGCCUCUCCCAGCAUCCAGCUACCCAGACUCCAAGGCCCCAGGCGAGAGCCAGCUCUCGGUACCUGGAGCUCCACAGGUCCCAGAAUCGGGGUGGAUCAGAGUUCAAAUUCUGGUUCUGCUACUGUCUAAUUGCGUGCUGCAGGGACUCAAUCUCUUCAUCUGGGAAAUGGGAGUAAUAACCCUUGGCAGGAAUGUUGCGAUCCUCUGGGAUGUCAGAGGUGUUGAUGAAUGUUAGUUCCCGGGACUUCGGAAAGAGGUCCCGUUGGAAGAGAUGUGAAUUGGAAUUCACACCCUAUAUUAAAAUCUCCUCCAAUCUUCACCUCUGAGACAUGGCUGUCUCAAGACUGUUUUGUUUCCCUUCCUGGUGGAAUUUUGCACUUUUAUGUCCUGUGUAGCAGCAGGUAGUGUGGCUUUGAGAAAAUAAAAUGGCCACCUUGCUCCGCUGUUCUUUCUUUGUAAAAAAAAAAAAAAAAAAAAAAAAACGGCAUAGCAAUCUUGGCCUUUCUAGCUGUGUGACCCCAGGCCGGUCAAUCCCUCCUCCUCUCCAAGCCUCGGAUUCCUCCCCUGAGAAGUAAAGAAAAUAACUCCUAAACUGCCUCCCGAGGCUUGCUGGCAGGAUCCAAGGUGUCCAGAGAUGUUAAUAUUUCUUUAUUAUUUGACACGUGUAUUUGUUUAAUGGCCCUCUGCUCCACCAGUAUGGAAGCUCCAAAAGGAAAGAUACCAGAUUGAUCUUGAUCACCUCUGCCUCCCCAGCACCUAGUCUUCCUUGGCACAUCGUGAGUGCUCGGGUCAGGCUGUGCCACAUCCACCCAGCCUUGCCUGGGGUCAUUUAUCCUACAUGUACUCAGAUCACGUGAACUGGUGAUGGGCCACCCAUGUGCCUGCCUGGAGACUCCUAUUCACCCUUCAGAUCAAUAUCCCCCAAAUAAACUCCCAGUCACUCUGGCAUCCCAU
Molecule: long non-coding RNA, 2065 nt
Filed under: Homo sapiens (human)
Lineage: Eukaryota; Metazoa; Chordata; Mammalia; Primates; Hominidae
Description: long non-coding RNA NONHSAT162824.1
Source: RNAcentral